AACGAACGCUGGCGGCAGGCCUAACACAUGCAAGUCGAGCGCGCCUUCGGGUGAGCGGCGGACGGGUUAGUAACGCGUGGGAACGUGCCCUUCUCUACGGAAUAGCCUCUGGAAACGGAGAGUAAUACCGUAUACGCCCUUUGGGGGAAAGAUUUAUCGGAGAAGGAUCGGCCCGCGUUAGAUUAGGUAGUUGGUGGGGUAACGGCCUACCAAGCCUACGAUCUAUAGCUGGUUUUAGAGGAUGAUCAGCAACACUGGGACUGAGACACGGCCCAGACUCCUACGGGAGGCAGCAGUGGGGAAUCUUAGACAAUGGGGGCAACCCUGAUCUAGCCAUGCCGCGUGAGUGAUGAAGGCCUCUGGGCUGUAAACCUCUUUUAUCAAGGAAGAAGAUCUGACGGUACUUGAUGAAUAAGCCACGGCUAAUUCCGUG
RNAcentral lists this ribosomal RNA (433 nucleotides) under uncultured bacterium. RNAcentral describes it as "bacterial SSU rRNA". It matches the Rfam family "Bacterial small subunit ribosomal RNA", at positions 29 to 507 of the family's 1533-position model. The record is from RNAcentral.